Microtus oregoni (creeping vole) is the source of this 165-nucleotide small nuclear RNA. RefSeq annotates it as U1 spliceosomal RNA. The transcript has a single exon. The record is from RefSeq and is a predicted model, not a curated record. Lineage: Eukaryota; Metazoa; Chordata; Mammalia; Rodentia; Cricetidae.
AUACUAACCUAAUGGGAGAUACCAUGAUCAUGAUGGUGGUUUUCCCAGGGAGAAGCUUAGCCACUGAGUAAGAAUGUUUAGAAUGUGCUGACCCCUGUGAUUUCUCCAAAUGUAGGAAACACAAUGAUUUGAGGUAGUGGGGGACUGCAUUUGUGAUCUUUCUUG